This 647-nucleotide ribosomal RNA is filed under the name uncultured archaeon. RNAcentral's name for it is "bacterial SSU rRNA". It matches the Rfam family "Archaeal small subunit ribosomal RNA", at positions 833 to 1478 of the family's 1478-position model. The record is from RNAcentral.
GAGUACGGCCGCAAGGCUGAAACUUAAAGGAAUUGGCGGGGGAGCACUACAACGGGUGGAGCCUGCGGUUUAAUUGGACUCAACGCCGGAAAACUCACCGGGGGCGACAGCAAUAUGUAGGUCAGGUUAAAGGUCUUACCUGAAUCGCUGGGAGGAGGUGCAUGGCCGUCGUCAGUUCGUACUGUGAAGCAUCCUGUUAAGUCAGGCAACGAGCAAGACCCGUGCCCACUGUUACCAGCAUAUCCUUUAUGGAUGAUGGGGACUCUGUGGGGACCGCUGCUGCUAAAGCAGAGGAAGGUGCGGGCUACGGUAGGUCAGUAUGCCCCGAAUCUCCCGGGCUACACGCGGGCUACAAUGGUUGGGACAAUGGGUAUCUACUCCGAAAGGAGUUGGCAAUCUCUUAAACCCAAUCGUAGUUCGAAUUGAGGGCUGUAACUCGCCCUCAUGAAGCUGGAAUCCGUAGUAAUCGCGUUUCAACAUAGCGCGGUGAAUCUGUCCCUGCUCCUUGCACACACCGCCCGUCAAACCAUCCGAGUGAGGUAUGGGUGAGGGCACGAACUUAGUGUCGUGCUCGAACCUAAAUUUCACAAGGAGGGUUAAGUCGUAACAAGGUAGCCGUAGGGGAAUCUGCGGCUGGAUCACCUCCU